AGCUUCAGCCUCGAGCUCAGACUG
RNAcentral lists this non-coding RNA (24 nucleotides) under Arabidopsis thaliana (thale cress). Lineage: Eukaryota; Viridiplantae; Streptophyta; Magnoliopsida; Brassicales; Brassicaceae. The record is from RNAcentral.